This 240-nucleotide unclassified non-coding RNA is filed under the name soil metagenome. RNAcentral describes it as "partial contains 5.8S ribosomal RNA, internal transcribed spacer 2, and large subunit ribosomal RNA". The record is from RNAcentral.
AACAUCGCGCACCUGCGGGAACCUGCGGAGGGAUCAUUACUGAGUCACGCGCUCAAUCAACCCUUCUGUGGACCUGAAAUAAAACCGUUGCCUCGGCGGGCGGUCCCCCCCAAACCAACCCCACGUGGUGGGUUAGGGGAGACCAGACAGUCCGGUACGCUUAAGGCGUCCGGCGCCAGCCGCUGGCCCCAAACAAUUAAACUCUAGUAAUCUUUACCUUCUGAGUUUCAAUAUUUAAAA